This 497-nucleotide ribosomal RNA is filed under the name uncultured bacterium. RNAcentral describes it as "partial 16S ribosomal RNA". It matches the Rfam family "Bacterial small subunit ribosomal RNA", at positions 28 to 507 of the family's 1533-position model. The record is from RNAcentral.
GAUGAACGCUGGCGGCGUGCCUAAUACAUGCAAGUCGAGCGAACAGACGAGGAGCUUGCUCCUCUGACGUUAGCGGCGGACGGGUGAGUAACACGUGGAUAACCUACCUAUAAGACUGGGAUAACUUCGGCAAACCGUGUCUAAUACCGGAUAAUAUAUUGACCCGCAUGGUUCAAUAGUUAAAUACGGUUUUUCUUUCGCUUAUAGAUUAAUCCGCACCGCAUUAGCUGGUUGGUAAGGUAACGGCUUACCAAGGCGACGAUGCGUAGCCGACCUGAGAGGGUGAUCGGCCACACGGGAACUGAGACACGGUCCAGACUCCUACGGGAGGCAGCAGUAGGGAAUCUUACGCAAUGGGCGAAAGCUUGACGGAGCAACGCCGCGUGAGUGAUGAAGGUCUUCGGAUCGUAAAACUCUGUUAUUAGGGAAGAACAAAUGUGUAAGUAACUAUGCACGUCUUGACGGUACCUAAUCAGAAAGCCACGGCUAACUACGUG